CACCUGCUGAUUUAAAAGGAGGCGACGCCAUGACGACAGAAAUGCAGGAGAUCGCCAUCACGGAGGAGAAGCCAUUACUCACGGGUCAGGCUGAAGCCAAGGUCAGAGACGAUGCCACACACACACACACACACACACACAUGGAUAAACAUGCAUGGCAGAAUUACUUGCACGGUCGUCAGUAUGUAACGUACAUAAUCUGAACCCGUGGAUAAAUGGCAGAGUGUGUCUCCAUGUGUCUGUGUCCCAGAAGACCAGAAAAACAAGGGUUGACUUGUGUGUGUGUGUGUGUGUGUGUGUGUGUGUGUGUGU
Molecule: long non-coding RNA, 312 nt
Organism: Anarrhichthys ocellatus (wolf-eel)
Lineage: Eukaryota; Metazoa; Chordata; Actinopteri; Perciformes; Anarhichadidae
Exons: 3
Source: RefSeq, a predicted model, not a curated record